GCUAAUACCGCAUGAUGCCUACGGGCCAAAGAGGGGGACCUUCGGGCCUCUCGCGUCAGGAUAUGCCUAGGUGGGAUUAGCUAGUUGGUGAGGUAAGGGCUCACCAAGGCGACGAUCCCUAGCUGGUCUGAGAGGAUGAUCAGCCACACUGGAACUGAGACACGGUCCAGACUCCUACGGGAGGCAGCAGUGGGGAAUAUUGCACAAUGGGCGCAAGCCUGAUGCAGCCAUGCCGCGUGUGUGAAGAAGGCCUUCGGGUUGUAAAGCACUUUCAGUCGUGAGGAAGGUAGUGUAGUUAAUAGCUGCAUUAUUUGACGUUAGCGACAGAAGAAGCACCGGCUAACUCCGUGCCAGCAGCCGCGGUAAUACGGAGGGUGCGAGCGUUAAUCGGAAUUACUGGGCGUAAAGCGCAUGCAGGUGGUUUGUUAAGUCAGAUGUGAAAGCCCGGGGCUCAACCUCGGAAUAGCAUUUGAAACUGGCAGACUAGAGUACUGUAGAGGGGGGUAGAAUUUCAGGUGUAGCGGUGAAAUGCGUAGAGAUCUGAAGGAAUACCGGUGGCGAAGGCGGCCCCCUGGA
Molecule: ribosomal RNA, 576 nt
Filed under: uncultured Vibrio sp.
Lineage: Bacteria; Pseudomonadati; Pseudomonadota; Gammaproteobacteria; Vibrionales; Vibrionaceae
Description: bacterial SSU rRNA
Rfam family: Bacterial small subunit ribosomal RNA
Source: RNAcentral